UAUUGCCCAUGGUUUCAUUUCCACAAGGUGAUGGAGAAACAGAGAGAGGAAGAACUUGGGGACGCUCUGAUCGAAAUUCCAGGUUGUGCGACAGAGGUAAGCUCUGGAGCUUUUAAGAGAAAUGUGAUUGCUUGAGGAUCGGAAGCCAGAUUACUUGGAUCAAGAAACUUCCACCAGCCAAGAAGGAAUUGAAAAUGUCAGUAACAUAAAGGAUGGUUAUAAUCCUGCAACUUGGAUGUUGGACGUCACCAGUUCGGCGAAAGAAAUAGCUUAUGGUGUUGAUUUUGCUGGUGUUUAUAAAAAAUCAGAGCUAUACAGGAGAAACAGAACACAUGCUGAAUAACUGAGCACCCCUCCUCCAGGUUCAAAGGACCUGUAUUUCCAUACACAAUACUCAACCGUUUUUAACACACUGCAUGGCUUGCUUAUGGAAACAACAUGGGUCAUAUUGGAGCAAUCCACCAUAUACUGCCAUAAAGUUGAUAUACACAACCAUCAUAGCCUUAAUGUUGCGGACAAUUUUCUGGGCCCUUGGCUCCAAAACGUUUUGCCGAUUUUCAAUCAGUGCUUACUACGUUAACACGCUACAGGUAUGAUCAUCAGUCGAAUGAGGGUCAUUGCUGAAGUUAGGCAUGCGGAUCUAUUUCACUCGGCCAAUGUAGCAUCAAUUCAAGGUGCCAGCUCUUGUGCACAAUGUAAAGAUACAAGAAUGUACUAGCAGCUGCUUUUUAUGAGCGAAACUGGAUUGUGCUAGCAGCAGACUUUCUAUUGCUGAUGAAGGUACUUUUGUAUACUAGGAGGUCUGAAAGUCUGAAAGAUUGGAGAAAGAGGUUCCAUUGAGUAACGCUUUGAUUUGGGGAGAUAGGGAUAAAAGGAAAAUGAAAAAUGUAAUGAGAAGCAAGGCAAGAAGGAGCUCCUUAUUUGAGAAACAGUUUAGAAUUCUGACUGUUGUAUAAAUAGUGGGAGAUACAAACUUUUGAUUGAGGUCAUAUUCACACCGAACCUUUCAUUGAGAUCAUAUUUGUUGAUAACACUUC
RNAcentral lists this long non-coding RNA (1037 nucleotides) under Rosa chinensis. RNAcentral's name for it is "sRNA RchiOBHm_Chr7g0228101". Lineage: Eukaryota; Viridiplantae; Streptophyta; Magnoliopsida; Rosales; Rosaceae. The record is from RNAcentral.